Long non-coding RNA from Marmota monax (woodchuck), 8743 nucleotides. RefSeq lists it as uncharacterized. NCBI's taxonomy places the organism in Eukaryota, Metazoa, Chordata, Mammalia, Rodentia, Sciuridae. The record is from RefSeq and is a predicted model, not a curated record. The transcript is spliced from 6 exons.
UCUGUCUCUCUCCCCUCCUCCUAAGGCCCAGCCAGGGGCCUCGCCUGGGGAAGUUGUGAACCCUCACUAUUUUCUGUUUUAUUUCUGGUCCUAUUUUCAACUCUGCUGAGAAUUUGAAAUUUCUAAUCUCUUUCCAGGAGGGAUCAGCUGGGUAAUCAAAGAGACACAGAGAAGGCUCAUUUGGGAAGUGACCUCCUUCCCUAACCUAUGGAGGAUCUAUCAUGGUGGCAUCCUGAUUUUAGAAUAUGCCUACUUCUCCUCUCCUGGAAUGAGGGUUGGCCUUAAUGGCUGGCUUCCAGAGAACAGGCUGUUGCAGAAAUGAUGAUGUUUUAAUUUUGAGGUUGGGUGGUAAAAAACAAAUAUACUGUCGUUUCUGUGGCUCUUCCAUCUUGCUCUGGGGGAAGCCAGCCACCAUGCUGUAUGAUGAUUCCAGCAACCUACAGAGAGACCCACAGGGUCAGGAGCAGAGGCUUCCUGCCUGCAGACGGAUGAGCAACUGUCCUGGGAAUGGCUCCAUUGGCCCGUCAAGUCUCCAGAUGACCGCAGCCCCAGCCAAACCUUGGCCACUGUCUCCUGAGACAGCCCGAGCACAGCCACGGGGCCCAGCUCUUCCCAGACUCCUGGCCCCCAAGAAAAUGAAAAGAAGGAGAAAGCAGGGACCCCUCUGUAAGAAAAGGCUCCCUCGUUCCAGAGAGGAGGGGAGAGCGGGUCUGCAACCAGAAGGUCAUGUUCUGAACUGGAGGUGAUCUACUAGUGAGCUACACCCCCAGCCCUGGAGGAUUAGGGUCCUUAUAAGAGGACCCCCUACCCAUGCUCCUGAGCUCUCUUGUGAAGACACAAGGAGAAGCGGGUAGGCAGUCGGCAGCCUGGAAGAGGGUCCUCACCAGAACCAACCAUGCUGGCACCCCAGUCGUGGACUUGCAGCCUUAUAGCAGGGCUCAGCUCCGUUCCCUGUUCCCACCAGCCUCUCCCUUCUCUCAGCUUCAGAUGUGUGUUUGGUAAAUCCAGAAAAAUCUCCCAGGUGCUGGCCAGCUGCCUAAAUGAGGAACAAGGUGACAGCCCCGAAUUCACACGUCCCCAGAUAAACGGUGACUUAAAUGAGCAGCCCAGAUGGCCGCCCGGUGAGCUAUGAACACUGGUUCUCCCUGCAUUUCUCUGAGAAAGUGGCGUGAGACUGUCUUUUGGUACUUGAGAUGGUGGAGCUUUGCCAUAAUUCAAAGGAGCCUCGAGAGCUGUGCGGUUAAACCCCGGGGGGCUGAGGGAUCACCUGGAGAGCAGGUUAGGAAUACAGACGCAGUCCACACCCAGCGAUUCCGAUUCAUUGCGUGCUCCCCAUGGAUCUGCACUGGACCCCAAGAGACAGCCUCCGGCAGCCAUCUUUGUACAACGGGAUCCUGUCCCCCUGGCCAAAGCUGAUUAGAGGUGAGGUGGGUGGUGUACCUAAAGGGUUCUCAUCUCUUCUGAAGAGUUUGGAAAGGGAGCAACAGCUGCCUGCACCAGGCUCUUCAAGUGAUUGGGCCUGUAACGCCACCUCUGGAAUUGUGGGACAGUUGUUUUCUGUCAUUUAAGAAGUGAAGAAAAAGCUGGUGUUUGGGAAAGUAAAAAAUGAAAUAGAUACACAGAAAGAAGUAGACACGAGUUUUGGCUCCAUAAGACACAUUGAUAUAUCCCCUUACACCACACACACACACACACACACACACACACACACACCAGCUUGAGGUAGUUUAUAUAACCAGCAACAAGAGUCCUAACCAACACAUGAGAACACAGUGUCCCUUUUCAGUCACGACUGAGGAUCUUGUGGAAUGUUAGGGUCUCCAUGAAGAACCCGUAGUUCUCAUUAUUCAGAACACUGUGUGGAAAACCAAAGAGUCAGACCUGUCAUAAGUUUAUUUCAGAAGCUGCUCUAAGAAUUGCCUUUGUUCACUUUCGGUCUUCACAAUUGGUUCAGUUUCAAUGCUUCAACUCUUUCCCCUAAGAAGCACUCAGCAAAGCAUCCACAGGGCCCACAAAUGACUGUGGUCUGUGUGUGUGAGUGUUGUGUGGCAUCUGGGAAGGGUAGGUGAUGGGACCCACAUACAUUGAGUUCCAACUGUUUCCCUUUCCUGGAUGGUUUACUUUAAUCCCCACCACAUACUGGUACUCCUGAUAAAACCAUUUUAUCGUUGAAGAAGCUGCAUCUCAGAAAAGCACAUUGAUUUUGUUAAGGUCACGUGGCUGAAACCCAGGUUCAGUUCUCCCAGGUCUGUGGAGAACCAAAUUUGAUGCUAUUUUCACUCUUCCAUGUUAUUACACAGGGGGGAAAACACACCUUGACCGGAUGUCCUGUUAGGGAGAUUCUGGUUCACUAGGGAGAUUCUAGUUCACUCUAACUUUCUUAGAAUUGUAUCAUACUGGAGAUUCUCGACCUUGAGGGAGAGAAUCAGGGACAGAGAGAUCUCCCAGCUCCAGACAUACUAGGAACAUUUCUGCAUAUUCUAAAUAAAACAUUGCUAUAUCCAGUAGGAACUAGGAUAGCAAUUUUUAGCACCUUAUUUAUAAAGGUGGGAAAAACAAAAGCCAAAGAAAGUAAAUGAGAAACACAAGAUCUUCAGACAGACCCAGGAGCCCACUGCGGCCUUCUGGCUCUGCCUGUCUCAGUAGAAGAACAUUCUGGAGCAGUUGAUCUUUCUUGACUAAUUAAAGGUGAUUGGAGUUUUGGAGUCAGCAUGGCUUUUGCCUCCCCUCAGCCCCACAUCCUUGGACACCAUACUGUCUGCCGGCUGUCAGUUAGCAAGUAAGUCUAGAGAAGAGCUGGUGUUGGCUGAAGUCAGCCCGGACAGAAUGAGAUUAGGAAGAUCCAGGCAAAACCUUGGACCUCAAUGUGGUUUGAACCUAGUAAAAAAAUCAUGCAAGUGCUUAAAUCAGACUCUGCAAACGCCUCAAAAUGGACACAGCUGUGCAGCAUAAAGCUCCCAACUGGAAUAAGCAAAUCGGAACCAGACUUUUCUCUUCUGAUGCUCUCAACUCUUCUUUAUCUAAUGAAUGUUUUUGUUUUAUUUAGAUUUUUUUAAAGCCCUCACCUUGAUUUGUUGAUCACAAAGGAAUGUUGCCUGCUUAUUUUAAUGCAUUCCAACAUUACCAAGGUAAAAUGCAGAAAGGGAACAUUUGGAGUUGAAUUUGAAAUACCGUCAGUAGCCCUUCCUGUAAAACUUGCCAAUGUCAAGGCUAUGUUAAAGAAUGUAAGCUACAGGAAAACUCCAAUUAGUCAAAAUGUCCAGGGAAUGGGAGAUUCCAGGUUAUUUCAGAGAAAACCUUUUUCACAUCAACUCUUGACGUUGGAAAUCUUACUGAAAAGUAUGAGUUGGGUUUCCUGUCUUUAAGAAGCACAGUUUAUUCCAAAAUUAAUUUAAUGUUCGUCUGACAGUUGAGGGUCAGGCUGUAUCACGGGUUAAGCAUUCUGGACCCCAAUUCCCAUUGUCCAGAAAAAACAAACCAAAACUAAACAGGAGAUUGAGGAGACUUUGAACGCCACCCUCGGACAUGUUUUCGAUGUCCCUGAAAUGAGCCUUUUCCUUUUGUAUUUUGCUCCUUUCUCCUUGUAUAGAGGGGGGAGAAAAACAUCUGCGAGACUUGGUGCCUUGCCUGCAUAAAUUCCAGCUAAAUCAAGAUUUUCCCAUACUUACAGUUUUAUAUAAAUGCUUUGGCCAUCAGCAGUUGGAAGCCAUCCUUCCUAUGGCCUGUGCAGGAGAAUUGGGAGAAGUGAGCACCUCCCUCAGCCACCUGCCACCUUCCCCACCACCACUGGAGAGCAGAUCAGCAGAAUUUGGUCAUUUCUUCCCAGAUCAGUUGUCACUGUCUGCACCCGGCUCCUCAGCAUCCAUGACGUUUCUUUGUUGUAGGAAGCUCUUCUGUGCGCUGUGGACCCACACCAUCUCAGCUCCCACUGUUUGGAGGCCAGCAGCACUCGCCCACCUCCUUAACCAUGACCACCCAAAAUGUCUCCCGAUAUUGCCAGACGUCCUCCAAGGGACAGAGUUGCCCCCAGUUGAGAAUCACUGGUCUAGACAUGGGUUCAGUUAUUUCUCUUUUAUUUUCCCUCCCCCUGUCAUCAAGAUUAUACGUUUUCUUGACCUUGGCAAAUAAUUUCAUAACAUAUUUCCUGCUCUAUUUCAUGGAAGAACAAAAAUAAUUCUCUGAUGAAAGUCAUAUUUUGACUUAAAUUGCAUGAGGCAGGCCUUGUUAUAACACACCCACAGGUUCCGCGUUGUUUUUGGAAGGCAGUAAAUUUGUUUUCUGCUUCGAUCCUGAUUUUGAUUUUUAAGUACUGAAUUUUCAUACUGUACUCAGUUCCCCUGGAGGUCAUUGUCAUCAUGGACAUCAAAUCGACGUCUCAGGCACAGUCUCUCAUGUCGUACCGUCUCUCUCAAUUUCAUUUUUGCAUCUGUCUCGAAAUCAUUUUUGCUGCUGUGGCUAAUGUUCCAUGUUUUUUCACUCACUGUUCUUUAAAGCCCAUUUAUUCCCUUUUUCCAGUGAGUUCAGUUUAAAUCUUAUGUCUUGUACGAUAUUUUGGGUAUUUAAAAAAAUAUCUGUUAAAUGUGUUAAAUUCAGGUAGUAAGUUAUAGAUGCCUGAUUGCAAGCCUAUGGUAAUAUUUCUGCCAUAGAACGGGGUGAUAGUUGAAACUGUUUUGGAGAAGCAGAUUUUGGGAUUAGGAAAGUUACCCAUAUAUGUUGAUUGUCAAAUGUCAAACAAUUCAGUUAUGCUACAGUUUGGAUUUGGAAUGUUCCCCAAAGGCCCGUAGGUUGAAGGCUUGGUUGUCAGUGUGGUACUGUUGGAAGGUGGUGGGAAUUUUAAGAAGUGGGGUCACUGGGAUUGUGCUCUUGAAGGGAAUUGCAGGGCCCCAGUUCCCCUUUCUCCCUCUCUUCUACUUCCCAGUCACCAAGAGGGGAGUGAUUUUCUGCCCUCUGUAUUCCCUCCUUGAUUUCUGUCUCCCCACAGGCCCCAAACAAUGGGACCAACUGACCAAGGGUUGAGACCUCCAAACCUAGGACCCAAAAUAAACUCUCUAUCUUUAUAAACUGGUGAAAUCAGGUAUUUGUUACAGUAACUGAGAACUGAUGGACACAAAUUAAUAAUUCAUAUGAUAUCUAUUUUGGACCAAAUAAGCGUAUGCACACUGAGAUUUUUUCAGAUUCAUCAGAGGUUUUGCAUGUAUUAUUUUUACUUGGAUUGUAAAAAAUGGAACACAAAACUGUAGAUGAUUUCUGAAUACAUAAAAAUAUUUCCAGGUUGAGGCUAGAAUUCAGUGGUUGUGCAUAUGUGAGACCCUGGAUUCAAUUCUCAGCGCUGGAAAAAAAAAUUCCAUGUACAUAGACAAAGGCUAGUAUAUAAAAGUUAGCAUUGAACAGUUGUAUUGAUUAUAGCAAAUGCUUUCUCCUAUUCAAAGUUUUCUAUGGAUUAGAGUUUACAUAAAUUUUCGGUAGCACAUAUUUUUUAUUACCUGAAGAAGCUUUCUUGUUCACUUAAAAUACAAAACAGAUGACAAAUCACUUGUGAUAACACCACCCAGUGAUGGUCACUGUCAACAGUCUUUUUUUCCUUUUACAAAACAGAUCAUCCUAAAUAAAUUAUUCUUUAUCCUGCUUUUUAAAUCAUAGUGAGUAUGAAUAUAAAUAUACAGCUAUCUAUGGAUAUCUAAGAAGGAUUGUCACAAGUAAAAUAUCAUAGUAUUUACCUGUAACCUACACACACCCUUCCUACACUUUAAAUUGUCUCUAGAUGACUUACAAUACCCAAUACCUUUCUCGAAUAUUAUUUUAUUGUGUUGUUCAAGGAAUAAUUAUAAGAAAAAGCAGUCUAUAUAUAUUCAACACAGAUGCAACCAUCAUAGGUCAACUACGUCUCUGAUAUGAAUUGGUUGAAUUCAUGGAUAUGGAACCCAUAGAUAGGGAGGGACAACUAUUAACUUGUGUAUUUCUGUCUGAUAUUAUGGGACUUUUGGAGAUUUCCAGUUUCUUCCAUUAUAUAUAUUAUGUUGCAAAGAAGAUCUCCAUACAAAAUCUUUCCACACGUGGUUAAGCAACUCUUGCAGCUAAAACUUGAGAAGACAAAUCCUAGGUCAAAGGGUAAUUCCCAAGGCUCUAUACAUAUUGCUAAAUUAUCUCUGGAAAGUUGUUCCCAUUUUCCGUCUUUCCUUAUUGGCAGUUGUCUUGAAGGGCCUCCAUCUUGUUCUGUCAGCCUUCAGGCCUGUGAAGACAUUUCCCAUGAGAAUUCUUCAGAUAUGUCAAUGUAAUAAGAUCCAUUGCAAGAUAUCUGUCAACAGCAUCCCUGGGCCCAUCUCACACCAUCUGUCAGUGGCAACUCUAAUAUAUUUUGGGAAGAUGCUCAUACAGUUGCCAAAAAAAAAAAAAAAAAAAAAGUUUGCAAUUGAAUCAGUUUUUCCAGUCAGUUAGGAUGCAGAACUAAACUGCAUUAACGACCUGUGACAAUCUUAUUACAAUAUCCAGAGACUCCAUGUAGGAAUGUGUCCUUGUGAAUUUAAGGGCAGGCUGCAAGAUGGGGUAGGUGGAUUGCCUUUUCUCGAGAGUGCCACAGAGCUCACACAAUUACAAGUGUAGUGCAAACUUGGCAGCAAGAACUGAUAGCCAAGUCUUAGCUCCAGGCAACACUGGGGAGAAAAACAUCACUGAGGUGCUGAGCUCUAUCACUUAGAAAGGUAGAGUGAUAGUCUGACUAUUACACAUACAACUGGUACCUGUAGUGGGUUUGAAUUCCAUGCCACCAACUGACCUUUGAUCAAGACAAACAAGAAAGCUAACUUAUGUACUCCCAGGAAAUGGAAAGGAUCAGCCUUAAUAUAUUAUAUGAAAAUGUUUUGGAUAUUAAAAAGCACUAUACAUAUGAGUUUAUUACUGCUGACAUUGCAUUUUUACAGGUUCUGAACUGUUAGGUUCAGGAUUUAAAAUACCUAAGAUCUCAUCUAUCUUAUUUUGGAUGCAUAAAAUUUUAAAUGCCAGGAAUUGCUUGUUGUUAUUCCCUCUCCAGACCCUUCCUGGCCAGUUGAGCCCCAUAAUCAUGGAGCCCAUGUGAACCUUUAAUUUUCAAGGGGCUGGUGUGUAUCCCAGGUAUAGAAGUGGCGAGUUGUCUCUGCUCUCAAACAGACAUUCACAGAUUCUCUUCUCUCUGUACCACUGGUUAAUUGAGUUACUUUCUGACAUGUCACAGACACAUGAACUCCCCAGGUACCCUUAGCUCACUGGACCUUGUCAUUUCCUUUCAAGUCUGAAUAACAUGGACCACUGAAGUCAGGGCAGACAGAAACCACAAAGAUCACAUGACAGACAGAGGUCAAAAGCCCACCCCCUUGUCAAUGAGACAGACCCAGAAGGCAGGCCUCCCUGAGCUGCUUCUCUCUCUAAACAGCUUUAGUAACUCAAAGCAGCCUGCUUGUGUCUCCUGCACGUGGCCUGUUGGCAAAGUUAAAAAUAUUCUGAUCUCUCUCUGCAGAGAGAGAGAUUGCACCACAGCCCAAACUCAUCCAGAAGCCGUUCUCCUGGCCAGGAGACCAGAACUGCACUUAUUUCACCUGCAUGUGCCUGUGGGCUUAUUCCCAUACUGAGGACAGAAAGAGAAAAGGACGGAAGCACUCACAUUCUUUUUUAUUGUUGUUCUAAUUAGUUAUACACGACAGAAGAAUGCACUUCGAUUCACUGUACACAAAUGGAGCACAACUUUUCAUUUCUCUGGUUGUACAUGAUGUAGAGUCCCAUCAUUCAAGCAAUCGUACAUGUACCUAGGGUAAUGAUGUCACUCUCAUUCCACCAUCUUUCCUAACCCCAAGCCCUCUCUCCUCUCCUUAUUCUCCUCUGCCCAAUCCAAAGUUCCUCGUACAUUGCUGGUGGGACUGCAAAUUGGUGCGGCCAAUUUGGAAAGCAGUAUGGAGAUUCCUGGGAAAGCUGGGAAUGGAACCACCAUUUGACCCAGCUAUUGCCCUUCUUGGACUAUUCCCUGAAGACCUUAAAAGAGGGUACUACAGGGAUACUGCCACAUCGAUGUUCACAGCAGCACAAUUCACAAUAGCUAGACUGUAGAACCAACCCAGAUGCCCUUCAAUAGACGAAUGGAUAAAAAAAAUGUGGCAUUUAUACACAAUGGAGUAUUACUCUGCACUAAAAAAUGACAAAAUCAUAGAAUUUGCAGGGAAAUGGAUGGCAUUAGAGCAGAUUAUGCUAAGUGAAGCUAGCCAAUCCCUAAAAAACAAAUGCCAAAUGUCUUCUUUGAUAUAAUGAGAGCAACUAAGAACAGAGCAGGGAGGAAGAGCAGGAAGAAAAGAUUAACAUUAAACAGAGGCAUGAGGUGGGAGGGAAAGGGAGAGAAAAGGGAAAUUGCAUGGAAAUGGAAGGAGACCCUCAUUGUUACCCAAAAUUACAUAUAAGAGGUUGUGAGGGGAAUGGGAAAAAAACAAGGAGAGAAAUGAAUUACAGUAGAUGGGGUAGAGAGAGAAGAUGGGAGGGGAGAGGAGGGGGGAUAGUAGAGGAUAGGAAAGGUAGCAGAAUACAACAGUUACUAAUAGGGCAUUAUGUAAAAAUGUGGAUGUGUAACCGAUGUGAUUCUGCAAUCUAUAUGUGGGGUAAAAAUGGGAGUUCAUAACCCACUUGAAUCUAAUGUAUGAAAUAUGAUAUGUCAAGAGCUUUGUAAUGUUUUGAACAACCAAUAAAAAAAUAAAUAAAAUGGUAAAAAAAAAAAAAAACAAAGUUCCUC